RNAcentral lists this long non-coding RNA (518 nucleotides) under Cyanistes caeruleus (blue tit). RNAcentral describes it as "lncRNA (ENSCCEG00000001892.1)". The record is from RNAcentral. Lineage: Eukaryota; Metazoa; Chordata; Aves; Passeriformes; Paridae.
GGAGAGAAGCAGUUGUUCUUGCUGGGGUCUCAGUUUCUGGUGCAACUCCAAGCAUCCCUGCUUGUUGGUGUGUUUUAGGCUGCCUCCUGAUGCUGUGCUGAGGCCCCCUCACUGACCUGCCAAGAGACCCGGUUUGCUCCUCUGGUGAGCCCCAGCAAAUAUUACCGGAGUCCAUGACGAAGCCUCGACCUCGUCCACGUGUCAGUGCGGUCCUGGUACCCUUUAGGCGUGGCCGAGGAGUCACGGCGUACCCUGCGACGACGGCAUCCGCCUCGGAGCGUGGCCGAAGCGUGGGCCGGAGGACCCGGGAGUUCCUAAGAGACGGUGAUGAUACUUGUCUGAGACAACAGCCCGGUGAGAGAAGAACUUCCCAGACAGCGAGGUGGCUUUGUUUGGCACCCGACCGGCCUCUCGCUGUGACUCACAUCUUCAGCCCUCCGAGAGAUAAGUGGAGCCCGCAGAGGGGAUCAAAGCAGGGCAGUGGGUUGGGACUCAGAUCGGUUUGGGUUUUUGAGUGA